RNAcentral lists this ribosomal RNA (387 nucleotides) under uncultured bacterium. RNAcentral's name for it is "bacterial SSU rRNA". It matches the Rfam family "Bacterial small subunit ribosomal RNA", at positions 30 to 419 of the family's 1533-position model. The record is from RNAcentral.
AUUGAACGCUGGCGGCAUGCCUUACACAUGCAAGUCGAACGGUAACGGGCCUUCGGGUGCCGACGAGUGGCGAACGGGUGAGUAAUGCAUCGGAACGUACCUUUCAGUGGGGGAUAACGUAGCGAAAGUUACGCUAAUACCGCAUAUUCUGUGAGCAGGAAAGCAGGGGAUCGCAAGACCUUGCGCUGAUUGAGCGGCCGAUGUCAGAUUAGCUAGUUGGUGAGGUAAAGGCUCACCAAGGCGACGAUCUGUAGCGGGUCUGAGAGGAUGAUCCGCCACACUGGAACUGAGACACGGUCCAGACUCCUACGGGAGGCAGCAGUGGGGAAUUUUGGACAAUGGGGGCAACCCUGAUCCAGCCAUGCCGCGUGAGUGAAGAAGGCCUGG